RNAcentral lists this ribosomal RNA (469 nucleotides) under Pseudomonas sp. 'Disko Bay 69'. RNAcentral describes it as "bacterial SSU rRNA". It matches the Rfam family "Bacterial small subunit ribosomal RNA", at positions 21 to 486 of the family's 1533-position model. The record is from RNAcentral. Lineage: Bacteria; Pseudomonadati; Pseudomonadota; Gammaproteobacteria; Pseudomonadales; Pseudomonadaceae.
UGCUCAGAUUGAACGCUGGCGGCAGGCCUAACACAUGCAAGUCGAGCGGAUGACGGGAGCUUGCUCCUUGAUUCAGCGGCGGACGGGUGAGUAAUGCCUAGGAAUCUGCCUGGUAGUGGGGGACAACGUUUCGAAAGGAACGCUAAUACCGCAUACGUCCUACGGGAGAAAGCAGGGGACCUUCGGGCCUUGCGCUAUCAGAUGAGCCUAGGUCGGAUUAGCUAGUUGGUGGGGUAAUGGCUCACCAAGGCGACGAUCCGUAACUGGUCUGAGAGGAUGAUCAGUCACACUGGAACUGAGACACGGUCCAGACUCCUACGGGAGGCAGCAGUGGGGAAUAUUGGACAAUGGGCGAAAGCCUGAUCCAGCCAUGCCGCGUGUGUGAAGAAGGUCUUCGGAUUGUAAAGCACUUUAAGUUGGGAGGAAGGGCAGUAAGUUAAUACCUUGCUGUUUGACGUUACCGACAGAA